Non-coding RNA from Podarcis lilfordi (Lilford's wall lizard), 70 nucleotides. The record is from the annotation of a GenBank genome assembly. Lineage: Eukaryota; Metazoa; Chordata; Lepidosauria; Squamata; Lacertidae.
GGAUAGCUCAGUCAGGAGAGUAUGAGAAUCCUUAAUCUCAGUGCUGUGGGUUCGAGCCCCACGUUGGGCA